RNAcentral lists this long non-coding RNA (411 nucleotides) under Carica papaya (papaya). Its description in RNAcentral is "long non-coding RNA (CPAP_LNC009065)". Lineage: Eukaryota; Viridiplantae; Streptophyta; Magnoliopsida; Brassicales; Caricaceae. The record is from RNAcentral.
AAGGUCUAUGAGGGAAAUCCCUCUCUACACUCAUCAAUUGUGUGAGACAGGGGCUAGUGGCGUGACCUUCUCGGCACAUGGGUGUGCUUGACAAGGUUGUUGAACCCAGGCAGGUUGUGCAUUGCGACGCACCUGACACUGGCUGGCGAAGCUCGCACGUGAGUGUGUUGCUACCAUGUGUACUCUAUAUGCUUAGGGCCCUAUCUCAGCACUUAGGCAUGCUCAAAUAGUGUCAUUUGGACAUCAGGCAUACAACCAUGUCUGUAUUGCGGUUUGUCUUGGCACAUUAGUGUCUUCGCCGUACUGGGCCAAGGCGAAAGCCUUUCUCAUCGAACUCCGAUUUCCAUUUUCCACUUAUCUUCUCAAAAUCAAUUUUUAAUCGAGGCAUAAACAUCUAAUCACAUUUACAAA